This 2411-nucleotide ribosomal RNA is filed under the name Bacillus cereus VD146. Its description in RNAcentral is "bacterial LSU rRNA". It matches the Rfam family "Bacterial large subunit ribosomal RNA", at positions 505 to 2925 of the family's 2925-position model. Lineage: Bacteria; Bacillati; Bacillota; Bacilli; Caryophanales; Bacillaceae. The record is from RNAcentral.
GAGGGAAAGGUGAAAAGCACCCCGGAAGGGGAGUGAAAGAGAUCCUGAAACCGUGUGCCUACAAAUAGUCAGAGCCCGUUAAUGGGUGAUGGCGUGCCUUUUGUAGAAUGAACCGGCGAGUUACGAUCCCGUGCGAGGUUAAGCUGAAGAGGCGGAGCCGCAGCGAAAGCGAGUCUGAAUAGGGCGUUUAGUACGUGGUCGUAGACCCGAAACCAGGUGAUCUACCCAUGUCCAGGGUGAAGUUCAGGUAACACUGAAUGGAGGCCCGAACCCACGCACGUUGAAAAGUGCGGGGAUGAGGUGUGGGUAGCGGAGAAAUUCCAAUCGAACCUGGAGAUAGCUGGUUCUCCCCGAAAUAGCUUUAGGGCUAGCCUUAAGUGUAAGAGUCUUGGAGGUAGAGCACUGAUUGAACUAGGGGUCCUCAUCGGAUUACCGAAUUCAGUCAAACUCCGAAUGCCAAUGACUUAUCCUUAGGAGUCAGACUGCGAGUGAUAAGAUCCGUAGUCAAGAGGGAAACAGCCCAGAUCGCCAGCUAAGGUCCCAAAGUGUGUAUUAAGUGGAAAAGGAUGUGGAGUUGCUUAGACAACUAGGAUGUUGGCUCAGAAGCAGCCACCAUUUAAAGAGUGCGUAAUAGCUCACUAGUCGAGUGACUCUGCGCCGAAAAUGUACCGGGGCUAAAUACACCACCGAAGCUGCGAAUUGAUACCAAUGGUAUCAGUGGUAGGGGAGCGUUCUAAGUGCAGUGAAGUCAGACCGGAAGGACUGGUGGAGCGCUUAGAAGUGAGAAUGCCGGUAUGAGUAGCGAAAGACGGGUGAGAAUCCCGUCCACCGAAUGCCUAAGGUUUCCUGAGGAAGGCUCGUCCGCUCAGGGUUAGUCAGGACCUAAGCCGAGGCCGACAGGCGUAGGCGAUGGACAACAGGUUGAUAUUCCUGUACCACCUCUUUAUCGUUUGAGCAAUGGAGGGACGCAGAAGGAUAGAAGAAGCGUGCGAUUGGUUGUGCACGUCCAAGCAGUUAGGCUGAUAAGUAGGCAAAUCCGCUUAUCGUGAAGGCUGAGCUGUGAUGGGGAAGCUCCUUAUGGAGCGAAGUCUUUGAUUCCCCGCUGCCAAGAAAAGCUUCUAGCGAGAUAAAAGGUGCCUGUACCGCAAACCGACACAGGUAGGCGAGGAGAGAAUCCUAAGGUGUGCGAGAGAACUCUGGUUAAGGAACUCGGCAAAAUGACCCCGUAACUUCGGGAGAAGGGGUGCUUUCUUAACGGAAAGCCGCAGUGAAUAGGCCCAAGCGACUGUUUAGCAAAAACACAGGUCUCUGCGAAGCCGUAAGGCGAAGUAUAGGGGCUGACACCUGCCCGGUGCUGGAAGGUUAAGGAGAGGGGUUAGCGUAAGCGAAGCUCUGAACUGAAGCCCCAGUAAACGGCGGCCGUAACUAUAACGGUCCUAAGGUAGCGAAAUUCCUUGUCGGGUAAGUUCCGACCCGCACGAAAGGUGUAACGAUUUGGGCACUGUCUCAACCAGAGACUCGGUGAAAUUAUAGUACCUGUGAAGAUGCAGGUUACCCGCGACAGGACGGAAAGACCCCGUGGAGCUUUACUGUAGCCUGAUAUUGAAUUUUGGUACAGUUUGUACAGGAUAGGCGGGAGCCAUUGAAACCGGAGCGCUAGCUUCGGUGGAGGCGCUGGUGGGAUACCGCCCUGACUGUAUUGAAAUUCUAACCUACGGGUCUCAUCGACCCGGGAGACAGUGUCAGGUGGGCAGUUUGACUGGGGCGGUCGCCUCCUAAAGUGUAACGGAGGCGCCCAAAGGUUCCCUCAGAAUGGUUGGAAAUCAUUCGUAGAGUGCAAAGGCAUAAGGGAGCUUGACUGCGAGACCUACAAGUCGAGCAGGGACGAAAGUCGGGCUUAGUGAUCCGGUGGUUCCGCAUGGAAGGGCCAUCGCUCAACGGAUAAAAGCUACCCCGGGGAUAACAGGCUUAUCUCCCCCAAGAGUCCACAUCGACGGGGAGGUUUGGCACCUCGAUGUCGGCUCAUCGCAUCCUGGGGCUGUAGUCGGUCCCAAGGGUUGGGCUGUUCGCCCAUUAAAGCGGUACGCGAGCUGGGUUCAGAACGUCGUGAGACAGUUCGGUCCCUAUCCGUCGUGGGCGCAGGAAAUUUGAGAGGAGCUGUCCUUAGUACGAGAGGACCGGGAUGGACGCACCGCUGGUGUACCAGUUGUUCUGCCAAGGGCAUAGCUGGGUAGCUAUGUGCGGAAGGGAUAAGUGCUGAAAGCAUCUAAGCAUGAAGCCCCCCUCAAGAUGAGAUUUCCCAUAGCGUAAGCUAGUAAGAUCCCUGAAAGAUGAUCAGGUUGAUAGGUUCGAGGUGGAAGCAUGGUGACAUGUGGAGCUGACGAAUACUAAUAGAUCGAGGACUUAACCAU